UAGGGAAUCUUCCGCAAUGGACGCAAGUCUGACGGAGCAACGCCGCGUGAGUGAAGAAGGAUUUCGGUUCGUAAAACUCUGUUGUUAGAGAAGAACAGCGCAUAGAGUAACUGUUAUGCGUGUGACGGUAUCUAACCAGAAAGCCAUGGCUAACUACGUGCCAGCAGCCGCGGUAAUACGUAGGUAGCAAGCGUUGUCCGGAUUUGUUGGGCGUAAAGUGAGCGCAGGCGGUCAAUUAAGUCUGAUGUGAAAGCCCCCGGCUCAACCGGGGAGGGUGAUUGGAAACUGGUUGACUUGAGUGCAGAAGAGGGGAGUGGAAUUCCAUGUGUAGCGGUGAUAUGCGUAGAUAUAUGGAGGCACACCAGUGGCGAAGGCGACUCUCUGGUCUGUAACUGACGCUGAGGUUCGAAAGCGUGGGUAGCAAGCAGG
This 429-nucleotide ribosomal RNA is filed under the name Bacteroidota bacterium. Its description in RNAcentral is "Bacteroidetes bacterium partial 16S ribosomal RNA". It matches the Rfam family "Bacterial small subunit ribosomal RNA", at positions 355 to 776 of the family's 1533-position model. The record is from RNAcentral. Lineage: Bacteria; Pseudomonadati; Bacteroidota.